AACCGAGAACUCCUACGGGAGGCAGCAGUGGGGAAUUUUGGACAAUGGGGGCAACCCUGAUCCAGCAAUGCCGCGUGAGUGAAGAAGGCCUUCGGGUUGUAAAGCUCUUUUGUCAGGGAAGAAACGGUAGUAGCUAAUAUCUAUUACUAAUGACGGUACCUGAAGAAUAAGCACCGGCUAACUACGUGCCAGCAGCCGCGGUAAUACGUAGGGUGCAAGCGUUAAUCGGAAUUACUGGGCGUAAAGCGUGCGCAGGCGGUUGUGUAAGUCAGAUGUGAAAUCCCCGGGCUCAACCUGGGAAUUGCAUUUGAGACGGCAGGGCUAGAGUGUGUCAGAGGUGGGUAGAAUUCCACGUGUAGCAGUGAAAUGCGUAGAUAUGUGGAGUAAUACCGAUGGCGAAUGCAACCCCCUGGGAUAGCACUGACGCUCAUGCACGAAAGCGUGGGGAGCAAACAGGAUUAUAAACCCCAGUAGUACGACUGAGA
This 485-nucleotide ribosomal RNA is filed under the name uncultured bacterium. RNAcentral's name for it is "bacterial SSU rRNA". It matches the Rfam family "Bacterial small subunit ribosomal RNA", at positions 327 to 806 of the family's 1533-position model. The record is from RNAcentral.